This 513-nucleotide ribosomal RNA is filed under the name uncultured bacterium. RNAcentral's name for it is "partial 16S ribosomal RNA". It matches the Rfam family "Bacterial small subunit ribosomal RNA", at positions 28 to 523 of the family's 1533-position model. The record is from RNAcentral.
GACGAACGCUGGCGGCAUGCCUAAUACAUGCAAGUCGAGCGAACAGAUGAAGUGCUUGCACUUCUGACGUUAGCGGCGAACGGGUGAGUAACACGUAAGGAAUCUACCUAUAAGCGGGGGAUAACAUUCGGAAACGGGUGCUCAUACCGCAUAAUAUCUUCUUCCGCAUGGAAGAAGAUUGAAAGACGGCUCUGCUGUCACUUAUAGAUGACCUUGCGGUGCAUUAGUUAGUUGGUGGGGUAAUGGCCUACCAAGACGAUGAUGCAUAGCCGACCUGAGAGGGUGAUCGGCCACAUUGGGACUGAGACACGGCCCAAACUCCUACGGGAGGCAGCAGUAGGGAAUCUUCCGCAAUGGGCGAAAGCCUGACGGAGCAAUGCCGCGUGAGUGAAGAAGGCCUUCGGGUCGUAAAACUCCGUUAUAAGAGAAGAACAAGUUGUAGAGUAACUGCUACAGUCUUGACGGUAUCUUAUCAGAAAGCCACGGCUAACUACGUGCCAGCAGCCGCGGUAA